ACUGAGCUACUCUGAGGUUAGUUCAUGCAGCUAUUAUUACCUUAAGCCAUUUGGUGUCGGUGUGUUUUGGAAGUAAUCUACGAAGAGUGUGAGUUAGGCAUACUUGCGGAGGCUCCUCGCUUAGUAACCCGCCUUCAGGUUCCAAGAGCAUAGCGAAAACAUCAAAAAACUCGUACAAACAUUCGCCGUGUUUGUCUGCUGGCACGAACUCGUUUUUGAACGCUAUGGAUGCUAUGAGAUUGUGUCCCUAAGGUACAAGAUCGAGUUCUUGUUGUUGUGUUGGAUCGAAGCGACUUAGGAGCGUAGCGUUUGCGCGAGCGAUCAGACUAACGUCUUCUCGUCUUCAAUUCAAGACUGUAUGCUUGUUUCUAUCGUCCUGAGCUAGCCAAUACUCCAACUCUUAAAGGAACAAAAAACAGCCAAUUAUUAACGUCAGCCUCGUGUAGGGAUAACAAAGAACAGAAUGGCCGCAAAACGUGUACGCCCAGAGGGUUAUUUUAUUCCACGGAUCUACCAACCUAACGUCGAUUACGAGGAACGCCUUGUAAGUCCCUCGAUUGCCGAUAUUGAGCGUCGCCAAGGAACCGUCUAUCUUGUAUCGUCCCUUGUAGAAGAAAGGGAACCGUUCCGUGGCGGUAUUGGCCAAUACGAUCGACUUAGUGAGCAAAUCUCGCAGCGUCAGUUGCGUGGACGGAUGGAGGCGCGCGCCCAAGAACACGACCGAGUAAUGCGUAAUGCCUUCGACGCCGCCGAUUUUCAAAGGUAUUCACUCAUGGUAAAUUUGUUCCGGCUUGCUAAAACAGGAUGCAGGUGAUGGACGGUUCGUUCUGCAGGCGCUUCAUGCCUCCAGUGGAGAUGACUAAGAGAGAUUUAAAGCAUGCGACUCACUUGAAGAUGAUGGAAAGACGCCGCUUACAAGACGUGCACGACGCCUGGCAAAAAACAAAGGAUGAAGAACGUCGAGCGCGUGCACGGAAGUUGUUCCGUCCACUCGAAAUUGCGGCCAUUCCCGAAGUACCGUAUCAUAGGGCAUACCGGAAGCCUACUCUCUACGAUCUUUAAGGACUUCUCAAAUGAAUCCGGUCAGUGAGGACCAGCUGAUGAGGCGUUAGGAAAUACGCUGCUAUAUCGACCAGCGGGGUUAUGUAAUACAAACAUUGAAGAUAUUAAUGUCUUUGGAUAAUAAUACGACUAAACAAAACGACGAAACGGAGGGAGAGACUGCGUUACCAUAAUACAAUAAAAUUCAAUAACGCAAAUAACAGCAGACGCAUAGAUUAGUGCGGAAAACAAGACUCAACGGUGCUACCAUUACAGAUCGAAAUGACGACGCCUGUAAAUAAAGUUCCACCAAAUGCC
Varroa destructor (honeybee mite) is the source of this 1359-nucleotide long non-coding RNA. Lineage: Eukaryota; Metazoa; Arthropoda; Arachnida; Mesostigmata; Varroidae. The record is from RefSeq and is a predicted model, not a curated record.